GGGUGAGUAACGCGUGAGAAUCUGCCUUUUGGUCGGGGAUAACAGUUGGAAACGACUGCUAAUACCGGAUGUGCCUACGGGUGAAAGAUUUAUUGCCAAAAGAUGAGCUCGCGUCUGAUUAGCUAGUAGGUGAGGUAAUGGCUCACCUAGGCGACGAUCAGUAACUGGUCUGAGAGGAUGACCAGUCACACUGGGACUGAGACACGGCCCAGACUCCUACGGGAGGCAGCACUGGGGAAUUUUCCGCAAUGGGCGAAAGCCUGACGGAGCAAUACCGCGUGAGGGAGGAAGGCUUUUGGGUUGUAAACCUCUUUUAUUAGGGAAGAAGAUCUGACGGUACCUAAUGAAUCAGCAUCGGCUAACUUCGUGCCAGCAGCCGCGGUAAUACGAGGGAUGCAAGCGUUAUCCGGAAUUAUUGGGCGUAAAGCGUCCGCAGGUGGUUUUACAAGUCUGCUGUCAAAGCGUGGAGCUUAACUCCAUAAACGGCGGUGGAAACUGUAAGAGCUAGAGGUCAGUAGGGGUCACGGGAAUUCCCAGUGUAGCGGUGAAAUGCGUAGAUAUGGGAAGAACACCAGCGGCGAAAGCGCGUGACUGGCUGAUUCUGAC
Molecule: ribosomal RNA, 606 nt
Filed under: Alkalinema aff. pantanalense LEGE 15481
Lineage: Bacteria; Bacillati; Cyanobacteriota; Cyanophyceae; Leptolyngbyales; Leptolyngbyaceae
Description: bacterial SSU rRNA
Rfam family: Bacterial small subunit ribosomal RNA
Source: RNAcentral